This 855-nucleotide small RNA is filed under the name Pongo abelii (Sumatran orangutan). RNAcentral describes it as "processed transcript". The record is from RNAcentral. Lineage: Eukaryota; Metazoa; Chordata; Mammalia; Primates; Hominidae.
AUGAGGUUUUUAAACUCACAUGUUUUAUUCAUGGGUAGGCAGGUAACACGAUGAUUAGGAGUCCUGGCAUCAGAUUACUGGGUUGAAAUCCUGGCUCUGUCACUUGCUAGUGAGGAUGAAAUAAUAAAAUCCCUCUAAAAUACCUAGCUCAGCACCUGACAUGUGGUUAUUACUUAAUUAAUGUUACAGGCAUUUGUGACCUACAAAAGACAUAGUUUAAUGACUAUAUUUUUAGCCUUCAAAAAUGCAAAUUCCAUUUUUUUUUGAGUUCUCAUAUAUUAGAGAAUAUGUUAAUUGUCUCAGUUUGUUGUUUUAUUUUUUCUGCCCAGCAGUCUUUCAGUUGGUAGAGUGGACUGUUAAUUUAUCUAUUUCUCUGGUAUUUAGUUAUGCCAAUUUAGGGUAUUUGGAUUUCACAUAAUUUUCAAUACUGUCUGACAUUUCAGAUGACAGUAGAAAGAAAACGUAGCAUUUGUAGAUCUCUCCAUGUACCCUGCAUGGGGCUUAGCACUGUCAAACGAGUAACUUAAUCCUGACAACCGUAGUGCAAGGUAUGGCCCAUCUCCUGUACGCUUGGAGCGACCUUUGGCUACGUGGCUGGCCUUGUUAUUUCACCACUCUGGAUAUACUGGAAUAGAAAGCAACUUACAUACAAGAACAAUUAACUGGAGCAAAGGGAGAUAUUUCUUUGUGCAGAUUCUGUAAGGGCUGUGCAGAAAUAUGUAUGGUCAAAGCCAAGCAGUUCCAUUUACAGCUCUGUUUUUUAUGUAGUUACAACACGAUGUGAUUGUAGCUUUUUAAACUAUGAAACCCCUGAGAGAUUGUACCUUCUAGUUGAAAUAAAGUAUUUAUAAUAGA